AGACCCGAAACCCGGUGAUCUAGCCAUGGGCAGGUUGAAGGUUGGGUAACACUAACUGGAGGACCGAACCGACUAAUGUUGAAAAAUUAGCGGAUGACCUGUGGCUGGGGGUGAAAGGCCAAUCAAACCGGGAGAUAGCUGGUUCUCCCCGAAAGCUAUUUAGGUAGCGCCUCGUGAACUCAUCUCCGGGGGUAGAGCACUGUUUCGGCUAGGGGGCCAUCCCGGCUUACCAACCCGAUGCAAACUGCGAAUACCGGAGAAUGUUAUCACGGGAGACACACGGCGGGUGCUAACGUCCGUCGUGAAGAGGGAAACAACCCAGACCGCCAGCUAAGGUCCCAAAGUCAUGGUUAAGUGGGAAACGAUGUGGGAAGGCCCAGACAGCCAGGAUGUUGGCUUAGAAGCAGCCAUCAUUUAAAGAAAGCGUAAUAGCUCACUGGUCGAGUCGGCCUGCGCGGAAGAUGUAACGGGGCUAAACCAUGCACCGAAGCUGCGGCAGCGACACUAUGUGUUGUUGGGUA
This 521-nucleotide ribosomal RNA is filed under the name Cronobacter sakazakii. RNAcentral describes it as "partial 23S ribosomal RNA". It matches the Rfam family "Bacterial large subunit ribosomal RNA", at positions 711 to 1230 of the family's 2925-position model. RNAcentral also lists the same sequence under 2 other names. The record is from RNAcentral. Lineage: Bacteria; Pseudomonadati; Pseudomonadota; Gammaproteobacteria; Enterobacterales; Enterobacteriaceae.